Notothenia coriiceps (black rockcod) is the source of this 343-nucleotide long non-coding RNA. RefSeq lists it as uncharacterized. The transcript has 3 exons. Lineage: Eukaryota; Metazoa; Chordata; Actinopteri; Perciformes; Nototheniidae. The record is from RefSeq and is a predicted model, not a curated record.
GAAAUCAAGGAUCCCUCAAACACUAGAAGUCACAAAAACCCUUUCUUUACGGUUCACCUCUUUUUUCUGAGGCUCUUCUGCGACAUGAUACUUUAUCCUCUUUAAUAAUGCACCUUUCUGUUAUGUUCUGCUACAGAGCGCGGUGACCAAUGGCUCGGACGGAGACCUCCCCCCAGGAUUCAUCUACAAGGUGAAAGCGGUGCAUGAAUAUGCUGCCACUGACGGCGAUGAGCUGGAGCUGAAGGUGGGAGACUCUGUGCUGGUUCUGGCCUUUGAAAACCCGGACGAACAGGACGACGGCUGGCUCCUGGGUGUGCAGGAGACUCACUGGUUGCAGAAGAAA